GAUCCUGGCUCAGGAUGAACGCUAGCGACAGGCCUAACACAUGCAAGUCGAGGGGCAGCACAAGGAGCAAUCUGAGGUGGCGACCGGCGCACGGGUGAGUAACACGUAUGCAACCUGCCUGUAAGCGGGGAAUAACCCGUUGAAAGACGGACUAAUACCGCAUAAAACAGGGGCACCGCAUGGUGAUAUUUGUUAAAGAAAUUCGCUGAUAGAUGGGCAUGCGUUCCAUUAGGUAGUUGGUGAGGUAACGGCUCACCAAGCCGACGAUGGAUAGGGGAACUGAGAGGUUGGUCCCCCACACUGGUACUGAGACACGGACCAGACUCCUACGGGAGGCAGCAGUGAGGAAUAUUGGUCAAUGGGCGGGAGCCUGAACCAGCCAAGUCGCGUGAAGGAAGAAGGAUCUAUGGUUCGUAAACUUCUUUUGCAGGGGAAUAAAGUGCAGGACGUGUCCUGUUUUGUAUGUACCCUGAGAAUAAGGAUCGGCUAACUCCGUGCCAGCCGCGGC
RNAcentral lists this ribosomal RNA (508 nucleotides) under uncultured bacterium. RNAcentral's name for it is "bacterial SSU rRNA". It matches the Rfam family "Bacterial small subunit ribosomal RNA", at positions 15 to 518 of the family's 1533-position model. The record is from RNAcentral.